GAUAUAGGCAACCAGCAGCGAGGAGAGGGGGGGAGGAGUGGAUGCCGAAGUAAUGGGUGAUAGAAAUUAAGGAGUUUUCUGCAUAUAUUCGCUAAUGUGACAUGUCACAUCAGCAUCAUAAGUUUGUGCGGGCGUUUUGAACUUAAGAUGGACUAUUUAGAGAGUUCGCGUAUCUAAAUAUACAUUCUAGAUCAUAUGGAGAUAACUCAAUAAAUUCAAAGACCCGUGGUGUAUUUUAAUCAGAAUAUUUUAUUCCUGUUUUG
RNAcentral lists this long non-coding RNA (263 nucleotides) under Panicum hallii. RNAcentral describes it as "long non-coding RNA (PHAL_LNC000510)". Lineage: Eukaryota; Viridiplantae; Streptophyta; Magnoliopsida; Poales; Poaceae. The record is from RNAcentral.